UUAAGUUCAGCGGGUGGUCCUACCUGAUUUGAGGUCAAGUUUAUCAAAUCCGACGACAUAUAAGCAGCCACGACCUUUCCAUCAGAUGCAGAUAAUUAUCACACCUAACAGAGGGUUCAACCACUCAUGCAUUUCAGGGGAGCAGACUACAAGCCAGAGCCUGCAUAACCCCCAAAUCCAAGCCACACCCCCAAUGGUGC
RNAcentral lists this unclassified non-coding RNA (200 nucleotides) under Inocybe sp. RNAcentral describes it as "partial internal transcribed spacer 2". The record is from RNAcentral. Lineage: Eukaryota; Fungi; Basidiomycota; Agaricomycetes; Agaricales; Inocybaceae.